GUGAACGCUGGCGGUAGGCCUAACACAUGCAAGUCGAACGGCAGCACAGUAAGAGCUUGCUCUUACGGGUGGCGAGUGGCGGACGGGUGAGGAAUACAUCGGAAUCUACUUUUUCGUGGGGGAUAACGUAGGGAAACUUACGCUAAUACCGCAUACGACCUACGGGUGAAAGCAGGGGAUCUUCGGACCUUGCGCGAUUGAAUGAGCCGAUGUCGGAUUAGCUAGUUGGCGGGGUAAAGGCCCACCAAGGCGACGAUCCGUAGCUGGUCUGAGAGGAUGAUCAGCCACACUGGAACUGAGACACGGUCCAGACUCCUACGGGAGGCAGCAGUGGGGAAUAUUGGACAAUGGGCGCAAGCCUGAUCCAGCCAUACCGCGUGGGUGAAGAAGGCCUUCGGGUUGUAAAGCCCUUUUGUUGGGAAAGAAAAGCAGCAAGUUAAUACCCCGCUGUUCUGACGGUACCCAAAGAAUAAGCACCGGCUAACUUCGUG
RNAcentral lists this ribosomal RNA (491 nucleotides) under uncultured bacterium. Its description in RNAcentral is "partial 16S ribosomal RNA". It matches the Rfam family "Bacterial small subunit ribosomal RNA", at positions 29 to 507 of the family's 1533-position model. The record is from RNAcentral.